Molecule: ribosomal RNA, 497 nt
Filed under: uncultured bacterium
Lineage: Bacteria
Description: partial 16S ribosomal RNA
Rfam family: Bacterial small subunit ribosomal RNA
Source: RNAcentral
GAUGAACGCUGGCGGCGUGCCUAAUACAUGCAAGUCGAGCGAACAGAUAAGGAGCUUGCUCCUUUGACGUUAGCGGCGGACGGGUGAGUAACACGUGGGUAACCUACCUAUAAGACUGGAAUAACUCCGGGAAACCGGGGCUAAUGCCGGAUAACAUUUAGAACCGCAUGGUUCUAAAGUGAAAGACGGUUUUGCUAUCACUUAUAGAUGGACCCGCGCCGUAUUAGCUAGUUGGUAAGGUAACGGCUUACCAAGGCAACGAUACGUAGCCGACCUGAGAGGGUGAUCGGCCACACUGGAACUGAGACACGGUCCAGACUCCUACGGGAGGCAGCAGUAGGGAAUCUUCCGCAAUGGGCGAAAGCCUGACGGAGCAACGCCGCGUGAGUGAUGAAGGUCUUCGGAUCGUAAAACUCUGUUAUUAGGGAAGAACAAAUGUGUAAGUAACUGUGCACGUCUUGACGGUACCUAAUCAGAAAGCCACGGCUAACUUCGUG